AUGAAGACACUGAGGCCCAUUCAGGGCAAGUGGCAGGUCCCUGUUCUCAGAAUUAGGGCCGAGCAGGUAUUAAAACUCUGUGUUCGUAUUCACUGUGUGCCCAGGGAGAUGAAAAUGCCCUGGUGUGAGAGGAAGCCUCCAGGGAGAAUAUGGGCACAGAAAUGGACCAGGAUGGAGUAUAGCUCCCACACCUUUUCCCUGAAUGGCAGCACUCACAAGACUGACAUGCCCACCCCUCUAGGUGGGUGGUUUUUCUCCCCAGGCAGCCCUGCCAACCCUUUCACUUGUGGCCUUCUGGCAUGGUGCCAGGGAGAGCAAGCCUCGUCCAGCCCUUAUCAAACUAACUGGCUGCUUCCUAGUAGGGAACAGCCACCAGCUUGUUUCAGAGAAGAAUCAUUGCUCAGCUGACUCUCAGAGGAGAAAACUGGUUCUGUUGGGAAGGCUUAGACCUUCAUCCAGUGGAAUGGGAAAGGCAAAGGAUUUCAGUACUAACAUGACUUUUUCUCCACUUCUUUUAGAGUGUUUAAAGUCAUGCAUUGUUAAUGGCUUCUCAUCUCUUCUUCCAGAGAGUUGAGUUAAAUUUUAGAAUCCGGGAGUGAGGACCCAGACUCUGGCUUCUGUUAGCUCCCUCAGUGGCAGUGGCCCCCUGAUAUGUGCAGCCCCUUUGCUUGACUCCAGAUGGUCCCGUACGGGUUGCAGGAGAGAUAUUAAGUAAUCAUACUGACGACCAAGUGAGAUAAGUGGCUUCAAGAACUUGAGGCUGGUGAGGACGACUUAAUCUUCUAGCAAGCUGGGCUAGACUUGGGGAAGCUUUCCUGAGCUGAGGGGAGGUUGACUGGGGUUCCCUGGAGUGGCGGUGGGUAGGGGCGGGGCCGAGGGGUGUUAGCUAUGGGAGGGUGAGAAGGAGUAUUCCAGAAGAGUUAACAGCUUAAGCAGGACCUCUGGAUUGUGGAAGGUGGUUUCUGCAUCACCACGGGACACCUGUGUGAGGGCUCAUAGGGAGGGGUUCGCGGAUGCUGGCAACUAGAAGCUGAUAAGGAAAAGUGUGGCCAAAAUGAAAAGCAGAAAAGAGAAUCUCAUCAAAUCCCCUCAUUUUAUGGGAUUUGGACUCCUAGUAAUAACUGUCCUUAAACACUCACCCUGAUCUUACAGCCCUCGCUGUUUCCUGGUUAACAGGGCCCAGGUGUUGGCUACAGGUGUCAUCACUGAGAGCCCUUGUGUGCAGA
RNAcentral lists this long non-coding RNA (1226 nucleotides) under Callithrix jacchus (white-tufted-ear marmoset). Its description in RNAcentral is "lncRNA (ENSCJAG00000078588.1)". The record is from RNAcentral. Lineage: Eukaryota; Metazoa; Chordata; Mammalia; Primates; Cebidae.